AGAUGUCUGAGUAGAUCUUGCGGUAACGUGUCAGUGAGGGGUACGUGUUUGUAACAGGCGAAGGGUGGUUGCCUGUACUCUGUUUAGCUUGUGAUGAGGAAUGGGGAAGGUUGUUCUUACGAGAUAGAAUGAUUUCGUAAGGUCGUUGUAGCUGGUGAGGCAAUCGCAUUCCCUGGGUGCACCUGCGCUGUCUCCGGCACGGUUGACAAGGCCUCGUGCUACGGAGUGAGCGACCUCGUUGAGGUUGGUGAAGUGCGGAUGUACGUCGCCGGCGUGUGCUGGGAACCAGACGAGAG
Molecule: long non-coding RNA, 296 nt
Filed under: Dermacentor andersoni
Lineage: Eukaryota; Metazoa; Arthropoda; Arachnida; Ixodida; Ixodidae
Description: uncharacterized LOC126530574
Source: RNAcentral